Cryptomeria japonica (Japanese cedar) is the source of this 2603-nucleotide RNA transcript. It is a transcript of the gene named BAG family molecular chaperone regulator 5, mitochondrial, with no coding region annotated. The transcript has 3 exons. The record is from RefSeq and is a predicted model, not a curated record. Lineage: Eukaryota; Viridiplantae; Streptophyta; Pinopsida; Cupressales; Cupressaceae.
UGAUUUGUGCGUGAGAAGUCAGCUGUUGAGUACCAGCUGAUUCAAAUUUACUGAUGCAGGAGGAAUAAUAGAGGGAAAACCAGGUGGGAUAUAUAUAAUCGCAAUUGGUCAGUCAUCUUCAGUUGUUUUGUGAGAAGUCUCGAGCAUGAACAAUUCUGUCUCCAGGAGGGAUUGGGAUCGAAACCCACAAAGUAUGUACAGGGUUCCAGUUUCUUCUUCUCUUUCUUCGUCUGCCGUUUCAAUUCCAGUGCGCUUUGUGAAUAUAGAUUCCCCAUGGGCUAUAACGGCUCCUCCUCGUCAUAUGGACGAGAUCCCAGCAGCCGUCAAAAUACAGUCUGUUUUCAGAGGGUUUUAUGUCAGGAAGACAAAGACACUGGAGAUUCUCAAGGUUAUUGCCGGCGUCAAGGCUAGUAUGGAGGAAAUGCGACGGCAUAUAAAUGAUCCUCACUGUCUUGAAUUGAUGCGUCAAAAUGAGAAAGAGCGUCUUAAAAUCGCAGAGGGGAUUAUGUCGCUGUUGCUCAAACUUGACGAAAUUCAGGGAGUGAAAUCAUUUUUACGGGAGGCAAGAAGGGCUGUAGCUCAUGAACUGGUCAGCCUUCAUGAAAGGGUGGAUGCCAUAAGCACCAGUAAAUUUAAAGAAGAAGCAGGUACAGAAUUUCCAGUUGACCUUCAGGCCAGAGAUGAUAAGAGUUGUAAUAUUGGGAGAAAUCGGGAGGGGUGGAAAGGUGCAGGGAACGGAUGUUGGUUGAAGAGACGGAUGAGGAAAAUAAUGAGUAGGAGCUACUGGACUGAUUGAUGUUGGCACCUUCUAACUAGAUUUAUAGGGGGAAACCCAAAAAAAGUGGUGGAUAAUAUAUAAUUGCAAUUUAUCUUAUUUGGUUUGUCUAUUUCAAUUGUCGUGAGAAGUCUAGAGAAUGAAAAACUCUGUCUCCAGGAGCGAGUGGAAUUGAAACCCACAAAGCAUGUAUGGUGUUCCAGUUUCAACUUUCAGGUUCUUUUUCUUCCUCAACUGUUUCAAUUCCAGUGUGCUUUGUGUAUAUAGAUCACCCAUGGUGUGCAAUGGUUCCUCCUGAUCAAAUUGAAAGACCACUGCAGCCAUCAAAAUAUAGUAUGUUUUGAGAGGGUUUUACAUCAGGAAGACAAAGACACUGGAGAAACUCAAGGUUAUUACUGGCAUUAAGGCAAGUUUUGAAGAAAUGCAGUUGUGUAGAAGUGAUCCUCAUGUUCUUCAAUUGCUGAGUCAAAAUGAAAAAAAGCAUAUCAAAAUCGCAGAGGGAAUAAUGGCCCUAUUGCUCAACAAAAUUCAGGAAGUGGAAUUUUUUGUGUGGGAGCAAGAAGGCCUGUAGCUCAUGAAUUGGUUAGCUUUGAGGAAAGGUGGAUGACAUAAGCACCAGUAAAUCUAAAGGAGCAGGUACAGAAGUUUCAAUUAACCUUCAGACCAGAAAGGGCGAGAGUUGUAAUUUUGGGAGAGAUCGGGAGGGUAGGAAGGGUUCACAGACUCAAUGUUGGUUGAGGAUACGGAUCAGGAAAAUGAUGAGUAGAAGCUACUGGACUGAUUGAUGUUGGCACCUCUUAACAAUUUCAAUUAAAUGAUUUUGAGCUGAUGAAGUGUAGGGUUCAGAUGCUCAGUCAUGCUUAUUAGGAUGCCCAGUUCAAAUUUCUUUCAGGGAGAAAUUCUUGAGCAAGGAGCUCAACUAAAUUGUGGGAGGAAUCAUCCUGGCACUGGGAACAUGAAAAGUGCAACUGUCUCUCUUCCGCUUUUCUCUUGCAAGAGUGUUUAUUCUACCUAAUUAAGCAACAUAUAUUAGUUGCUAAUAGAUAAAUGCUGUUAGCAUGAAGUUAGAACAUCCUACCAAGGUCAUAGAGGCGGGAGGAGGGUGAAAAUUGCUUGGUCCAUAGAUUGUUGAAGACAUUGGGAAAUGAAGAGAAGAUAUUCUGAAUACAUCCACAGAUAAUUAUAGCUGCGGGAAAUUUAUUAAGAAGGUACUAAAUUUGUCCAUCAGGCUGUGGUUUGGCAAUAGGUUGGAGAGCGUAUCACUUAAAUGAACAAAUUGAAAAAAAAAGAAGAUACCAAAAUUUGUUCAAUAUGAUGUAGCAGCUGGAUGAAAAAAAUAAAAGCAGCAUUUUAAAUAAACUACCUACUGUGCCUUAUAUACUGAAUGGUAUAGUUCGACUCCUCUAUGACAAGAGUAAGUUCUGCCCUAUUGUUAGGUGCAAAUAUGAUGCAACAUAUUCUUCUUCAUUUCUAAAUAUAAUAUACUCGGAAUUUCUAUUAAAGGAAGAUCAAGUGCAAAUUUCCAUCUCGAACAGGAUGAUGAUGGAUGGAAUAAUGUAGGUACUGACGGGAAUAAGCUGAUAGGGGUUGAGAAUCAUUGAUUAAUACAUUGGAGAAUGAUGGUAAAAGCUGUAAAAAUCCUUGUCAGCAGCAUGAUUAGUCCGACGGUGUGGAGAUUGAUUACCUUAAGCCACUUCUUCUCAAGACACUAUACCUUCUGUUGUGGUUUGAAACUUUCCGAGAGAUAUUUUGUUUCAAAUCGAUACUCUCAGAAUGUAUUGGCACCAUAUUGAUGGUUUGUUUAUUGCAAUUUACUGUUUGGACCGUA